CGGGACCGCACAAGCGGUGGAUGAUGUGGUUAAUUCGAUGCAACGCGAAAACCUUACCACCUUUGACAUGUACGGAAUCCUUUAGAGAUAGAGGAGUGCUCGAAAGAGAGCCGUAACACAGGUGCUGCAUGGCUGUCGUCAGCUCGUGUCGUGAGAUGUUGGGUUAAGUCCCGCAACGAGCGCAACCCUUGUCAUUAGUUGCUACAUUCAGUUGGGCACUCUAAUGAGACUGCCGGUGACAAACCGGAGGAAGGUGGGGAUGACGUCAAGUCCUCAUGGCCCUUAUAGGUGGGGCUACACACGUCAUACAAUGGAUGGUACAAAGGGUCGCCAACCCGCGAGGGGGAGCCAAUCCCAUAAAGCCAUUCGUAGUCCGGAUCGCAGUCUGCAACUCGACUGCGUGAAGUCGGAAUCGCUAGUAAUCGUGGAUCAGAAUGUCACGGUGAAUACGUUCCCGGGUCUU
Molecule: ribosomal RNA, 463 nt
Filed under: uncultured Acidovorax sp.
Lineage: Bacteria; Pseudomonadati; Pseudomonadota; Betaproteobacteria; Burkholderiales; Comamonadaceae
Description: bacterial SSU rRNA
Rfam family: Bacterial small subunit ribosomal RNA
Source: RNAcentral